RNAcentral lists this small RNA (29 nucleotides) under Bombyx mori (domestic silkworm). RNAcentral's name for it is "ovarian small RNA-34587". The record is from RNAcentral. Lineage: Eukaryota; Metazoa; Arthropoda; Insecta; Lepidoptera; Bombycidae.
UGGACUUCAGCAAAUGCCAGGGGCCGAGC